This 204-nucleotide small nucleolar RNA is filed under the name Eurypyga helias (sunbittern). RNAcentral's name for it is "Small nucleolar RNA SNORA74". It matches the Rfam family "Small nucleolar RNA SNORA74". Rfam says of the family: U19 belongs to the H/ACA class of snoRNAs. snoRNAs bind a number of proteins (including dyskerin, Gar1p and Nop10p in the case of the H/ACA class) to form snoRNP complexes. This class are thought to guide the sites of modification of uridines to pseudouridines by forming direct base pairing interactions with substrate RNAs. Targets may include ribosomal and spliceosomal RNAs but the exact functions of many snoRNAs, including U19, are not confirmed. The record is from Rfam by way of RNAcentral. Lineage: Eukaryota; Metazoa; Chordata; Aves; Eurypygiformes; Eurypygidae.
UCCAGCGGUAGUCAGCUACCCAUUGCUGCUCAGUGCCUGUGAUAGUGUUAUGCUGCUGGGAGAGCAACGUGCUGCCGAGUGGCUCCUGGCACCACCAGUGCUGUUCUAGCACCGGAUGGUAAUGGGUUUUGGCAGCACCCUGCAUGCUUGAGAGUGGAGUAACUCCUUCUCCGUGGAGUUAAUCCUAGAUUGGAUGCAGACAAU